GUAAUGGACACCGAUUAACAACCAAUACCAGCUUUCCAAAGCUCCAAGCCACAAACAUGAAUGAUUCCUAAAAGGGAAUCAGUACUAAAUCCUCUUCCUGAAAAGUCAAAAAUACUGCCACAAUCCCUGGGAGGACGGCUCCCUUCUUUCGUCCCAGCAGUUCGCCUCUUUUUUCACUUAAGACUCAGGUUGGGACUCAUUUCAACCGCAGCCCCAUUUCCUUCGGGGGGAGAGGGGUAAGAGGGAUGUGUUACAACUCGCAUCUUUACAAAUGCUACGCAGUUUACAAAGAGCUUGGACUUCCGUCAAACUCCUCUGAGCUCCGCGAGUGAGGGAGCCAUUCAUUCAUUCAUCAAACAUUUGCUCUGCCUGACCACGCGUCAUCGGGCGCUGGUGUCCCUCCACACCAGGGGAAGGGUGGGGCGCUCGCGCCCUCGAGCAGGUGCGGCAGAUCAAGCUGUAAGAUAACUUCUCGAGCAGCUGGGCUUUCCGAAGGCCCGUUUGGGGCCAAAUGCCUCACCUUCGGGUGGUGCGCGCCCGAGCAUGGCCGCGCGGCCUGGGCCUCCUCCUUGCUCCCCAAGGAGCAGUCACCACCUGCUCUGAAGGAAACCGCUACAGAGCAAGCUCUCUCCACCGCCCUCGGGUCAGGGUGAGGCGAGAGCCCCGCACUAAGCGAGGGAGACAGCGAGCUGAGCUCCGGGCGCUACCGCCGCCGCCGCCGCCGCGAGCGUGAGAGCCAGGGAGCAUCUGAGAGACCCAGCGCCCGUGCACCGGCCGCCGCCAGGACCUCUGCCCUGACCUGGGCCGGCGGGAGCCGCGGCCACCUCUCUUCUCCCCCCCUCACCUUCCCGGCCGGCAGCCGCGGCUGCACACGCCGGAGCCCGAGCCGGAGCCGGUGGCUGGGGGGCAGGGAGGUGGCUACCUCGGACCGGGACUAGUCCGCUGCUCCGCGGGGAGAGGACGCUGAGGAGGGGCCGGAGCUUCUGUUGGUCCCGGGGCGCGGGGCGAGGGACCCCCAAGGUGGAGGGCGGGGGUCCCAGCCGCAGCGACACAUGCGGGAGCCGGGAGCGGGGGCGGCGCCGAGCGGAGCCGGCCGGGUCCCCCACCUCGCCGCCGCCUCGGCCACCCGCCCGGGGCCGUAGCAUCUCGCCGCGGAGUGCAUGAGCCGGGGCUCCACGCCGGGCAGACGCCCCCCGGCUGGGGGGGCG
Molecule: long non-coding RNA, 1208 nt
Organism: Bos taurus (domestic cattle)
Lineage: Eukaryota; Metazoa; Chordata; Mammalia; Artiodactyla; Bovidae
Source: Ensembl